GCGCAGCAGUCGCGAAUCUUCCACAAUGGACGAAAGUCUGAUGGAGCGACGCCGCGUGCGGGAUGAAGGCCUUAUGGGUUGUAAACCGCUGUCAGGGGGAAGAACAUCGGAAUGAACAAUACUCAUUCCGACUGACGUUACCCCCAGAGGAAGCUCCGGCCAACUCCGUGCCAGCAGCCGCGGUAAUACGGGGGGAGCAAGCGUUGUCCGGAAUUAUUGGGCGUAAAGGGCGUGUAGGCGGCGAGGUAAGUCGAAUGUAGAAUCUCGACGGCUCAACCGUAGAAACUGCGUUACGAAACCUACCCUGCUUGAGUACGGGAGAGGUGU
This 327-nucleotide ribosomal RNA is filed under the name uncultured microorganism. RNAcentral describes it as "bacterial SSU rRNA". It matches the Rfam family "Bacterial small subunit ribosomal RNA", at positions 346 to 660 of the family's 1533-position model. The record is from RNAcentral.